RNAcentral lists this ribosomal RNA (428 nucleotides) under uncultured bacterium. RNAcentral's name for it is "partial 16S ribosomal RNA". It matches the Rfam family "Bacterial small subunit ribosomal RNA", at positions 354 to 796 of the family's 1533-position model. The record is from RNAcentral.
GUGGGGAAUAUUGGGCAAUGGGCGGAAGCCUGACCCAGCGACGCCGCGUGGGGGAAGAAGUCUUUCGGGACGUAAACCCAUGUUGUACGGGACGAAGGAAGUGACGGUACCGUACGAGGAAGCCCCGGCAAACUACGUGCCAGCAGCCGCGGUAAUACGUAGGGGGCGAGCGUUGUCCGGAAUCACUGGGCGUAAAGCGCACGUAGGCGGGCUGUUAAGUCGGCCGUGAAAGGCACGGGCUCAACCGGUGAAUGUCGGUCGAUACUGGCGGUCUGGAGUAUGGGAGAGGGAACUGGAAUUCCCGGUGUAGCGGUGAAAUGCGUAGAUAGCGGGAGGAACACCAGUGGCGAAGGCGGGUUCCUGGCCCAUUACUGACGCUGAGGUGCGAAAGCCAGGGGAGCGAACGGGAUUAGAUACCCGUGUAGUCC